Molecule: ribosomal RNA, 205 nt
Filed under: uncultured bacterium
Lineage: Bacteria
Description: partial 16S ribosomal RNA
Rfam family: Bacterial small subunit ribosomal RNA
Source: RNAcentral
UACGGAGGGUGCGAGCGUUGUCCGGAAUCAUUGGGCGUAAAGGGCGCGUAGGUGGCGGCUUAAGCGUGCGGUGAAAGCUCGGGCUCAACCCGAGUCGGCCGUGCGAACUGAGUCGCUUGAGCACUGUAGAGGCAGGCGGAAUUCCGGGUGUAGCGGUGGAAUGCGUAGAGAGUCCGGAAGAACACCGGUGGCGAAGGCGGCCUGC